This 828-nucleotide ribosomal RNA is filed under the name uncultured bacterium. RNAcentral's name for it is "bacterial SSU rRNA". It matches the Rfam family "Bacterial small subunit ribosomal RNA", at positions 564 to 1397 of the family's 1533-position model. The record is from RNAcentral.
AGCGUGCGCAGGCGGUUAUGCAAGACAGAUGUGAAAUCCCCGGGCUUAACCUGGGAACUGCAUUUGUGACUGCAUAGCUAGAGUACGGUAGAGGGGGAUGGAAUUCCGCGUGUAGCAGUGAAAUGCGUAGAUAUGCGGAGGAACACCGAUGGCGAAGGCAAUCCCCUGGACCUGUACUGACGCUCAUGCACGAAAGCGUGGGGAGCAAACAGGAUUAGAUACCCUGGUAGUCCACGCCCUAAACGAUGUCAACUGGUUGUUGGGUCUCUUCUGACUCAGUAACGAAGCUAACGCGUGAAGUUGACCGCCUGGGGAGUACGGCCGCAAGGUUGAGACUCAAAGGAAUUGACGGGGACCCGCACAAGCGGUGGAUGAUGUGGUUUAAUUCGACGCAACGCGAAAAACCUUACCUACCCUUGACAUGUCUGGAAUCCCGCAGAGAUGUGGGAGUGCUCGAAAGAGAACCAGAACACAGGCGCUGCAUGGCCGUCGUCAGCUCGUGUCGUGAGAUGUUGGGUUAAGUCCCGCAACGAGCGCAACCCUUGUCAUUAGUUGCUACGAAAGGGCACUCUAAUGAGACUGCCGGUGACAAACCGGAGGAAGGUGGGGAUGACGUCAGGUCAUCAUGGCCCUUAUGGGUAGGGCUACACACGUCAUACAAUGGCCGGUACAGAGGGCUGCCAACCCGCGAGGGGGAGCCAAUCCCAGAAAACCGGUCGUAGUCCGGAUCGCAGUCUGCAACUCGACUGCGUGAAGUCGGAAUCGCUAGUAAUCGCGGAUCAGCUUGCCGCGGUGAAUACGUUCCCGGGUCUUGUACACACCGCCCGU